Lycium barbarum (goji berry) is the source of this 1521-nucleotide long non-coding RNA. RefSeq lists it as uncharacterized. The transcript is spliced from 3 exons. Lineage: Eukaryota; Viridiplantae; Streptophyta; Magnoliopsida; Solanales; Solanaceae. The record is from RefSeq and is a predicted model, not a curated record.
GUUCGGUGCUGGCCUAAUUCCUUUUUUUGGAGUGUUUCUCCAUUUUCUUAAUUGUCUUAUUAAUUAUAAAAACCCAAAUGUCUUAAAAGAAUAUAUAUUUAUCUCUAUAUAAUAGGAGAGACAAAAGCAUCAUGUGAUGACAAGUAUCAUCACCACAAAAAUUAAAAUUUAAAAAUACAAAAUAAAAAUUAAAAGUUAAAAACUACAACAGUUAAAAAAAAAAAAAACUGCAAUGAGCAAAUUACUCACUCAGUAAAAUAAAAAAAAUAAAAGACCACAAGGACGUGGUUCCUCAGCAAAAUAAAGUUAAAAAGUUUAAAGAGAGUUGCAACUUCUAAAUCAGAAAGCAUAGUGUCUUUCUACAUUCUCUGGAAACGUUCCAACCAAUUUCUUGGCUUCCAAUUUCUACUUUUGGUUCAACUCUAGAAAUAGAGUAAAUCAAUCAAACAAUCCAGGGAGCAGAAGCAUUGAACCCCACAGUUUCAAAUCCAAUAUCAUGGAUGACGAGAACAUGUGCGUGGAAGGAACAGUUAAGAGCCCGUUUGGAUUAGCUUAUAAGUUGCUUAUAAGUUGUUUUUAGUUUUUUUGAGUGUUUGACUGAUCAGUUUAAAGUUAUUUUGUGCUUAAAAUAAGCUUAAAAAAAUAAUUUGGCCCAUUUGACUUAGCUUAUCUAAAGUAGCUUAUAAGCUAGUUAGACUACCAACUUAUUUUUUUUUAGUGUUUGCAGCUUAUAGUCAUAAGCCAAUCCAAACAGACUCUAAAUCUGAGAAGAAUAAAUUUGGGAUUGUCGAAGAUAAGAGAUUUUAGAUGAGAUGAGAGAUCUGAGGUUGAAUCAAACAACAAACGCCUGAUGUUGGUGUUUGUCUCUGAAAUUUGUAGUUUGUGUUUGUCCUGUUUGGAGUUCGGUUUAUUAUUCUGUGUACUUCGUUCGUCAACGGAAAUUGUAAUGCCGCUCAGAUUCCUCUGACUACCAUCAAUCACAAUAUUUAUCAUACAAGUGCUCCGUUUUUUCUAAAUUUAGAUGGUGGUUGUGAGGCGGUGAAGAAGCAAAGACAAGAAAGCGGCUGGAGUAAUGGUGGAGGAGGGACAACUGGGUUAUUAAUCCCCAUCUUCAUUGUAGUAUAUCUGCGACGAAGAAGAUCCAAACGAGUGAAUUGUUCUCCAGCAGAAACGUUAAUGAAGAUCACCCAAAUUCUCACCCACAGGAACGAUGAGUCAAAACAGAGAUUCUGGUGAAGCUUCUACAUGAGGCAACACCCCCUUUUGACGCUAAGAGAUUUUUGUCCACUGUUGCUAAAUUGGUCAAAAAUCUGUGUAUAUUUCACAUAGUUUUACCGUGUUCUGAAGAUUUUAUUUUUUCCGUAAUUUUUAAUGUAUUUUGGUUCUCUUUGUUUUGAAAGUCUUGUUUUCCUUACUAAUCUUGAAAAUUUCCUUUCUUAUGUGGUUAGAGAUCACACUAUGCUCUUUGUUUAUGAAUCAGGAGUUUUGGUUCUCUAACAUCUUCAUUUAUCAAUGCUAUGG